CACUGGCAGCUCAAGUGGUGGCCGUUUUUAUUGGGCCCUAAAGCGUUCGUAGCCGGUUUGAUAAGUCUCUGGUGAAAUCCUACAGCUUAACUGUGGGAAUUGCUGGAGAUACUAUCAGACUUGAGGUCGGGAGAGGUUAGAGGAACUCCCAGGGUAGGGGUGAAAUCCUAUAAUCCUGGGAGGACCACCUGUGGCGAAGGCGUCUAACUGGAACGAACCUGACGGUGAGUAACGAAAGCCAGGGGCGCGAACCGGAUUAGAUACCCGCGUAGUCCCUGAGCGGGCUGG
This 288-nucleotide ribosomal RNA is filed under the name uncultured prokaryote. RNAcentral describes it as "partial 16S ribosomal RNA". It matches the Rfam family "Archaeal small subunit ribosomal RNA", at positions 474 to 770 of the family's 1478-position model. The record is from RNAcentral.